RNAcentral lists this ribosomal RNA (254 nucleotides) under uncultured bacterium. RNAcentral describes it as "partial 16S ribosomal RNA". It matches the Rfam family "Bacterial small subunit ribosomal RNA", at positions 524 to 776 of the family's 1533-position model. The record is from RNAcentral.
GACGAACCGUCCAAACGUUAUUCGGAAUCACUGGGCUUAAAGGGCGCGUAGGCGGCCGAGCGGGUCACGGGUGAAAUCCUCCAGCUUAACUGGAGAACUGCCCUUGAUACCACUGCGGCUCGAGGAAGGAAGGGGCAAUCGGAACUGUCGGUGGAGCGGUGAAAUGCGUAGAUAUCGUUUGGAACGCCAAUGGAGAAAUCAGGUUGCUGGGAGUGUGCUGACGCUGAGACACGAAAGCCAGGGGAGCGAACGGG